RNAcentral lists this ribosomal RNA (225 nucleotides) under Pseudoalteromonas shioyasakiensis. Its description in RNAcentral is "partial 16S ribosomal RNA". It matches the Rfam family "Bacterial small subunit ribosomal RNA", at positions 1 to 222 of the family's 1533-position model. Lineage: Bacteria; Pseudomonadati; Pseudomonadota; Gammaproteobacteria; Alteromonadales; Pseudoalteromonadaceae. The record is from RNAcentral.
UAAUUGAAGAGUUUGAUCAUGGCUCAGAUUGAACGCUGGCGGCAGGCCUAACACAUGCAAGUCGAGCGGAAACGAAGAGGUGCUUGCACCUCUGGCGUCGAGCGGCGGACGGGUGAGUAAUGCUUGGGAAUAUGCCUUAUGGUGGGGGACAACAGUUGGAAACGACUGCUAAUACCGCAUGAUGUCUACGGACCAAAGUGGGGGACCUUUGGGCCUCACGCCAUA